GCUCAAGUGGCGAAAUUGGUAGACGCGCUGGCUUCAGGUGCUAGUACCUUAACGGGUGUGAAGGUUCGAGUCCUUUCUUGAGCACCA
RNAcentral lists this transfer RNA (87 nucleotides) under Alphaproteobacteria bacterium. RNAcentral describes it as "tRNA-Leu". It matches the Rfam family "tRNA". Rfam says of the family: Transfer RNA (tRNA) molecules are approximately 80 nucleotides in length. Their secondary structure includes four short double-helical elements and three loops (D, anti-codon, and T loops). Further hydrogen bonds mediate the characteristic L-shaped molecular structure. tRNAs have two regions of fundamental functional importance: the anti-codon, which is responsible for specific mRNA codon recognition, and the 3' end, to which the tRNAs corresponding amino acid is attached (by aminoacyl-tRNA synthetases). tRNAs cope with the degeneracy of the genetic code in two manners: having more than one tRNA (with a specific anti-codon) for a particular amino acid; and 'wobble' base-pairing, i.e. permitting non-standard base-pairing at the 3rd anti-codon position. Lineage: Bacteria; Pseudomonadati; Pseudomonadota; Alphaproteobacteria. The record is from RNAcentral.